RNAcentral lists this ribosomal RNA (254 nucleotides) under uncultured bacterium. RNAcentral's name for it is "partial 16S ribosomal RNA". It matches the Rfam family "Bacterial small subunit ribosomal RNA", at positions 524 to 776 of the family's 1533-position model. The record is from RNAcentral.
UACGUAGGGGCCUAGCGUUGUCCGGAUUUAUUGGGCGUAAAGAGCUCGUAGGCGGUUCGGUAAGUCAGGUGUGAAAUCUCCACGCUCAACGUGGAGGCGCCACCUGAAACUGCCGUGACUAGAGUCCGGUAGGGGAGUGUGGAAUUCCCGGUGUAGCGGUGAAAUGCGUAGAUAUUGGGAGGAACACCAGUGGCGAAGGCGGCUCACUGGACCGGUACUGACGCUGAGGCGCGAAAGCGUGGGGAGCAAACAGG